This 494-nucleotide ribosomal RNA is filed under the name uncultured bacterium. RNAcentral's name for it is "partial 16S ribosomal RNA". It matches the Rfam family "Bacterial small subunit ribosomal RNA", at positions 28 to 507 of the family's 1533-position model. The record is from RNAcentral.
GACGAACGCUGGCGGCGUGCUUAACACAUGCAAGUCGAACGGUGAAGCGCCUUCCUUUUUGGUGGGUGUGGAUGAGUGGCGAACGGGUGAGUAACACGUGAGUAACCUGCCCCCUUCUUCUGGAUAACCGCAUGAAAGUGUGGCUAAUACGGGAUAUUCUGGGUCUGUCGCAUGAUGGGUCUGGGACAGAUAUUGUUUCGGUGGGGGAUGGGCUCGCGGCCUAUCAGCUUGUUGGUGGGGUGAUGGCCUACCAAGGCGGUGACGGGUAGCCGGCCUGGGAGGGUGGACGGUCACACGGGGACGGAGACACGGACCAGACUCCGACGGGAGGCAGCAGUGGGGAAUAUUGCACAAUGGGCGGAAGCAUGAUGCAGCGACGCCGCGUGAGGGAUGGAGGCCUUCGGGUUGUGAACCUCUUUCGCCAGUGAAGCAGGGCUGCCUCGUUUGUGGGUGGGUUGACGGUAGCUGGAGAAGAAGCGCCGGCUAACUACGUG